Molecule: long non-coding RNA, 780 nt
Organism: Pecten maximus
Lineage: Eukaryota; Metazoa; Mollusca; Bivalvia; Pectinida; Pectinidae
Exons: 3
Source: RefSeq, a predicted model, not a curated record
AUGACGUCACUAUAUAUAUCAGUUUGACCAUGCGCUAAAUAGCCUCGUUCGGGCGAAUAUUUACUUCCUCGAUCGAGUCAAACUCGGGGUCUGGAGAAAAUGCCAAAACGAAAGAAACCACGAAAGUUCUCAAGUAUAAUCCAAACUCAACAGAUUUAUGAGAGGAAAUUUUCACUAGUCAGUGACAUGGAGUAGCUAGGCCUGACCUGAAAACUACUAGCCCCGGGCGUUGGUCUAGACUCUAGUGGAAUUGUACACCCCUGUGUGAAUCGACCUUGGGUAAUUACUGAAGAUGACGUCACUAUAUAUAUCAGUUUGACCAUGCGCUAAAUAGCCUCGUUCGGGCGAAUAUUUACUUCCUCGAUCGAGUCAAACUCGGGGUCUGGAGAAAAUGCCAAAACGAAAGAAACCACGAAAGUUCUCAAGUAUAAUCCAAACUCAACAGAUAAUAGCUUAAAGUGCUGUGCCAUGACCGUCUCAUUUGACAUUCUUGUCCUUCCACCAUCGACUAGUUGGGGACUCUUCAUCGAUAAUCUUGGAUGCCGUGAUAGAAAAGACCUAAACCAUUUAUUGGACGGACCGUUUCCUGAUCCUGACAGUUGUCUGCCGCUUUUGGACACAAUACCUCUGACAAAUGAUUUUAUUACUUUCCGUGUUAAAGGCAUAGCUCUGGCCUGACAGUAUACUAUAUAUGCCACUAAUUGCUCCUCCUCUACUUUGCUUAACACCCGGACUGGAUGGCCUUUCAAUAAUCCUUUUUGAUGACGGGAUAUGGUCAUG